This 265-nucleotide ribosomal RNA is filed under the name uncultured prokaryote. RNAcentral's name for it is "partial 16S ribosomal RNA". It matches the Rfam family "Bacterial small subunit ribosomal RNA", at positions 524 to 788 of the family's 1533-position model. The record is from RNAcentral.
UACGUAGGUGGCGAGCGUUGUCCGGAUUUACUGGGCGUAAAGGGAGCGUAGGCGGACUUUUAAGUGAGAUGUGAAAUACCCGGGCUCAACUUGGGUGCUGCAUUUCAGACUGGAAGUCUAGAGUGCAGGAGAGGAGAAUGGAAUUCCUAGUGUAGCGGUGAAAUGCGUAGAGAUUAGGAAGAACACCAGUGGCGAAGGCGAUUCUCUGGACUGUAACUGACGCUGAGGCUCGAAAGCGUGGGGAGCAAACAGGAUUAGAUACCCG